Schistosoma rodhaini is the source of this 45-nucleotide non-coding RNA. Lineage: Eukaryota; Metazoa; Platyhelminthes; Trematoda; Strigeidida; Schistosomatidae. The record is from Rfam.
AUCUAGCUGACGAGUCCCAAAUGGGAUGAAACGCCUUUCUUGGAU